CACAGUACCAUGGAUGUGGUAGGCGAAAAUGAGGCCCUGCAGCAGUUCUUUGAAGGCAGCUGAACUGAAGCUGAUAUUCUUGAUCUGCAGUCCAGUGCUCUACCUCUGAGCUAUACCCUCUCCUUGAAUCUGAUAUUCUAAUGAGAAGAACCAGUUGUUUCAUGUCAUGCUCCUAUUGAUAUGUUAACUGUUUCUAAUCAAAC
This 203-nucleotide long non-coding RNA is filed under the name Homo sapiens (human). RNAcentral's name for it is "long non-coding RNA NONHSAT029387.2". The record is from RNAcentral. Lineage: Eukaryota; Metazoa; Chordata; Mammalia; Primates; Hominidae.